GAUCACUUUGAAUGAUUCUAGCAAUUGCUUCGGCAAAGUAUAUGUCGACAAUUGUAGUCUUUCAGUCAUAUGAUUCUCCACAAUCAAUAUAGUUUAUGGAAAUUUCUUGUACGCCUUUUGACGGUUUGUUAUUUCCCAAUACGAAAGCGUCAGGGCGUUCCAAUGUCCCAACAUCAGAUAUUGAGUGCACUGUUGAUGUGGGAUGUAAAUUUUGUUUAUUCACUUGGUGUCUUACAGCUUGUUGUUGAGUCAUAUUUACUAAUUCAGAAUUUUUAUUAUUCUGUUUCCUUUGUCGUUUAGGGCGUUUAGUAGCCACGUCCUGAGUAAUGGCCUUACUUCUCCCCCUCUUCCCUUGAACCAGUUUCUGAGGUGGAAGAUGAAUAGUUUUAUUUGGUACCUCUAUUCUUUCAGGCAUAUUCCUAGCAGGAUGAUAGAAUUUAGUGACACCUUGAUAAUCAGUAAAUGCGUCUGGCAGAUUAUUUGCAAUAUUUUGCAAAUUUUGAUUUUCUGAACUUGGAGUUCAGAUUCUUGUGUACGUGGAUCAGUAGUGGAGAUGUCUUGUGCAUCCUAAUUUAUUUCCGGGCAUUCCUUUUGGUACUUGUAAUCUCCCCUAAUGCCAGGAAAUGAUCCUCAUUGAAGAUAUAGUCAGC
This 650-nucleotide long non-coding RNA is filed under the name Sorghum bicolor (sorghum). RNAcentral describes it as "long non-coding RNA (SBIC_LNC003471)". Lineage: Eukaryota; Viridiplantae; Streptophyta; Magnoliopsida; Poales; Poaceae. The record is from RNAcentral.